ACUCCUACGGGAGGCAGCAGUGGGGAAUAUUGCACAAUGGGGGAAACCCUGAUGCAGCCAUGCCGCGUGUGUGAAGAAGGCCUUCGGGUUGUAAAGCACUUUCAGUAGGGAGGAAGGUAGUGUAGUUAACACCUGCACUAUUUGACGUUACCUACAGAAGAAGCACCGGCUAACUCCGUGCCAGCAGCCGCGGUAAUACGGAGGGUGCGAGCGUUAAUCGGAAUUACUGGGCGUAAAGCGCAUGCAGGCGGCCUGUUAAGUCAGAUGUGAAAGCCCGGGGCUUAACCUCGGAAUUGCAUUUGAAACUGGCAGGCUAGAGUCUUGUAGAGGGGGGUAGAAUUUCAGGUGUAGCGGUGAAAUGCGUAGAGAUCUGAAGGAAUACCAGUGGCGAAGGCGGCCCCCUGGACAAAGACUGACGCUCAGAUGCGAAAGCGUGGGGAGCAAACAGGAUUAGAUACCCUGGUAGCGUCGUC
Molecule: ribosomal RNA, 473 nt
Filed under: uncultured bacterium
Lineage: Bacteria
Description: bacterial SSU rRNA
Rfam family: Bacterial small subunit ribosomal RNA
Source: RNAcentral